GAGUUUGAUCAUGGCUCAGAUUGAACGCUGGCGGCAUGCCUUGCACAUGCAAGUCGAACGGCAGCACGGGUGCUUGCACCUGGUGGCGAGUGGCGAACGGGUGAGUAAUGCAUCGGAACGUACCCGGAAGUGGGGGAUAACGUAGCGAAAGUUACGCUAAUACCGCAUAUUCUGUGAGCAGGAAAGCGGGGGAUCGCAAGACCUCGCGCUUCCGGAGCGGCCGAUGUCGGAUUAGCUAGUUGGCGGGGUAAAGGCCCACCAAGGCGACGAUCCGUAGCGGGGUCUGAGGAGGA
RNAcentral lists this ribosomal RNA (293 nucleotides) under uncultured beta proteobacterium. RNAcentral's name for it is "partial 16S ribosomal RNA". It matches the Rfam family "Bacterial small subunit ribosomal RNA", at positions 9 to 300 of the family's 1533-position model. Lineage: Bacteria; Pseudomonadati; Pseudomonadota; Betaproteobacteria. The record is from RNAcentral.